Molecule: long non-coding RNA, 691 nt
Filed under: Homo sapiens (human)
Lineage: Eukaryota; Metazoa; Chordata; Mammalia; Primates; Hominidae
Description: HSALNT0369045
Source: RNAcentral
AACUUCAAGCAUGUUGGGCUCUCCAGGAGGGAGAAGAGGCACCUUUGCCGUGGGUUGAGGACUCCUAGAACCAACCUGAGACUCCGCGGCCAUAUACACCUUACGACGUGUGUGUGUGUGGCGGGAGAUGGGAGGGGAGGAAUCCUGUAGAACCCAGAUCCCAUCAUUCCAGCAACUGCCAGAGCGUUCGAGAAUGUCAUGUCUGUACCUGUCUUCUCUCAUCUUUUGUGCCAACUGUUUUAUCAAACUUCUACCCCACUUUAGGUCUUCCAGAGUACAACACAAAUAUACUGCCCAGGUUCUAAAACAUGUAUAAGAGUUAACAAAAUCAGCUGAGGUUGAGCAGAAAUUGUAUAGGAAAAAAUAGGAAAAACACAGAGACCAAUCUCAGCUGCAAGAAGGUUCAGCUAGACACUGCAAGCAAAAGUAUAACUCCUGAAGGUCACUUUGAGAAGAUGAGGUAUCAACAGCCACUACUAUUAGGCAAGGUACAAGUAUCACAACACUAGUGCCAUCUGAGAAUCCAUGUCAACCCUUAGCUAAGGAAGUAGCUCCCAACCUGGAGAUCUCUGGGUCCUUGAGGACUCUUAAAGUAGUUAUGGAGCUCAUUGAACUAUUUUCAACAUUUCAAAAAGAUAUCACGUAGCAAUUGUACAUCCAUCCUUAAUAAAACUGCACAAGCAAACUGAAA